Molecule: small nuclear RNA, 153 nt
Organism: Erinaceus europaeus (western European hedgehog)
Lineage: Eukaryota; Metazoa; Chordata; Mammalia; Eulipotyphla; Erinaceidae
Gene: U1
Rfam family: U1 spliceosomal RNA
About the family: U1 is a small nuclear RNA (snRNA) component of the spliceosome (involved in pre-mRNA splicing). Its 5' end forms complementary base pairs with the 5' splice junction, thus defining the 5' donor site of an intron.
Source: Ensembl
AUAUUUAUCUAACAGGGGGAAUGCCAUCAUCACAAAGGUAGUUUUCCCAUGGCAAGGCUUAUCUUUGCACUCUAGCUGACCCCUGCAACGUCCCCCCAAAAGGGAAACUGAAUAAUAUAUGGUAGUGGGGAACUGCGUUCGUGUUCUCCCCAG